Clostridiales bacterium is the source of this 71-nucleotide transfer RNA. It matches the Rfam family "tRNA". Rfam says of the family: Transfer RNA (tRNA) molecules are approximately 80 nucleotides in length. Their secondary structure includes four short double-helical elements and three loops (D, anti-codon, and T loops). The record is from Rfam. Lineage: Bacteria; Bacillati; Bacillota; Clostridia; Eubacteriales.
UGCCGAAUGGUGUAAAGGUAGCACAGCUGCCUCUGGAGCAGUACGUGAGGGUUCGAAUCCUUCUUCGGCAG